This 328-nucleotide ribosomal RNA is filed under the name uncultured eukaryote. Its description in RNAcentral is "partial 18S ribosomal RNA". It matches the Rfam family "Eukaryotic small subunit ribosomal RNA", at positions 1470 to 1796 of the family's 1831-position model. The record is from RNAcentral.
CCCUUAGAUGUCCUGGGCCGCACGCGCGUUACACUGAUGCAUUCAACGAGCUUAUAACCUUGGCCGAGAGGCCUGGGCAAUCUUGUUAACGUGCAUCGUGAUAGGGAUAGAUUAUUGAAAUUAUUAAUCUUGAACGAGGAAUUCCUAGUAAACGCAGAUCAUCAAUCUGCAUUGAUUGCGUCCCUGCCCUUUGUACACACCGCCCGUCGCACCUACCGAUUGGAUGGUCCGGUGAAGCCUCGGGAUUGUGGUUCUUGCCGCUUUAUUGUGGCGUGACCGCGAGAACUUGUCUAAACCUUAUCAUCUAGAGGAAGGUGAANUCGUANCA